AAGACACCCUUACAGUGCAAGACUCGCUUCAGUGGGGCUUUGGUGCUCACUGAGUCUGCCCUCUGAGUGUGUCCUU
Molecule: microRNA precursor, 76 nt
Filed under: Myotis davidii
Lineage: Eukaryota; Metazoa; Chordata; Mammalia; Chiroptera; Vespertilionidae
Description: mir-9229 microRNA precursor family
Rfam family: mir-9229 microRNA precursor family
Source: Rfam by way of RNAcentral